This 64-nucleotide transfer RNA is filed under the name Bavayia robusta. RNAcentral's name for it is "tRNA-Cys". Lineage: Eukaryota; Metazoa; Chordata; Lepidosauria; Squamata; Diplodactylidae. The record is from RNAcentral.
AGGCCUGUAGGGAGUGUCACGUUAAUUGCAAAUUUGAAAAAGUUCCUAUUUGGUUCCAGGGCUU